GGUCAGAGUUUUUCUGUUUUCAGUACGACCAGAUCGACAACGAGCACAAGGGACUUUUCCAGGGUCUUUUCGAUGUUGGCGUGUACCCUGGCAGCGUUGAGACUCUGAGGAAGUGCAGGGAGCUGAUGGCUGCUCACUUCGCCUACGAACAGUCGAUGAUGCUGAAGGCUAGCUACCCAGAGUACCCCCACCACAAGGCUGCUCACGAUGGCUACCUGGCUACUCUCGCCAAGAUGGAAUGCCCGGUCAACGCAUCCGACGUCGACUACGCCAAGGACUGGUUGGUGCAGCACAUCAAGACCGUUGAUUUCCCAUACAGAGGCAAGCUGUAAGAUGUGCCCGAUUCCACAUCAUUACUCAUCUACCAAUCGCGACUAUGUACGUCCUAUCCACGCGCCUUAAGGAAUUAUAGGCUUCAGUCCCUAACUCCUUUACAGACUGUUACACAUAUGGCCUAAAUUCUAAUUUAGAGCCGCAAUCCUUCGGAAUCCUUUCUGAGACUUCUGGCAAUUCAUGGGGUUUUCUAAAUUGUUGGGAAAAAUAUUUAACACGCCGGUAUCAAUCUGACGGUACACGCAGACCUGUUCUCUUUCUAAUUUUCUUGUUAAAAACACACCCAAAAUUAUACGUUUGAUUUUCUAAUUGAUAUAUUUUGGAAAUAAUAAACAAAUCAAGUAUUGUACA
Priapulus caudatus is the source of this 684-nucleotide long non-coding RNA. RefSeq lists it as uncharacterized. The transcript is spliced from 3 exons. NCBI's taxonomy places the organism in Eukaryota, Metazoa, Priapulida, Priapulimorpha, Priapulimorphida, Priapulidae. The record is from RefSeq and is a predicted model, not a curated record.